CGUGUGCUUACAAGUAGUCAGAGCCCGUUAAUGGGUGAUGGCGUGCCUUUUGUAGAAUGAACCGGCGAGUUACGAUUUGAUGCAAGGUUAAGCAGUAAAUGUGGAGCCGUAGCGAAAGCGAGUCUGAAUAGGGCGUUUAGUAUUUGGUCGUAGACCCGAAACCAGGUGAUCUACCCUUGGUCAGGUUGAAGUUCAGGUAACACUGAAUGGAGGACCGAACCGACUUACGUUGAAAAGUGAGCGGAUGAACUGAGGGUAGCGGAGAAAUUCCAAUCGAACCUGGAGAUAGCUGGUUCUCUCCGAAAUAGCUUUAGGGCUAGCCUCAAGUGAUGAUUAUUGGAGGUAGAGCACUGUUUGGACGAGGGGCCCCUCUCGGGUUACCGAAUUCAGACAAACUCCGAAUGCCAAUUAAUUUAACUUGGGAGUCAGAACAUGGGUGAUAAGGUCCGUGUUCGAAAGGGAAACAGCCCAGACCACCAGCUAAGGUCCCAAAAUAUAUGUUAAGUGGAAAAGGAUGUGGCGUUGCCCAGACAACUAGGAUGUUGGCUUAGAAGCAGCCAU
This 561-nucleotide ribosomal RNA is filed under the name Staphylococcus aureus. Its description in RNAcentral is "partial 23S ribosomal RNA". It matches the Rfam family "Bacterial large subunit ribosomal RNA", at positions 557 to 1119 of the family's 2925-position model. Lineage: Bacteria; Bacillati; Bacillota; Bacilli; Caryophanales; Staphylococcaceae. The record is from RNAcentral.